RNAcentral lists this ribosomal RNA (462 nucleotides) under uncultured bacterium. Its description in RNAcentral is "partial 16S ribosomal RNA". It matches the Rfam family "Bacterial small subunit ribosomal RNA", at positions 28 to 507 of the family's 1533-position model. The record is from RNAcentral.
GACGAACGCUGGCGGCGUGCUUAACACAUGCAAGUCGAGCGGAAAGGCCCUUCGGGGUACUCGAGCGGCGAACGGGUGAGUAACACGUGAGUAACCUGCCCCAGACUUUGGGAUAACCCUCGGAAACGGGGGCUAAUACCGGAUACGACACAGCUUCGCAUGGGGUCUGUGUGGAAAGUUUUUCGGUUUGGGAUGGGCUCGCGGCCUAUCAGCUUGUUGGUGGGGUGAUGGCCUACCAAGGCGACGACGGGUAGCCGGCCUGAGAGGGCGACCGGCCACACUGGGACUGAGACACGGCCCAGACUCCUACGGGAGGCAGCAGUGGGGAAUAUUGCACAAUGGGCGGAAGCCUGAUGCAGCGACGCCGCGUGAGGGAUGACGGCCUUCGGGUUGUAAACCUCUUUCAGCAGGGACGAAGCGUGAGUGACGGUACCUGCAGAAGAAGCGCCGGCCAACUACGUG